Dendroctonus ponderosae (mountain pine beetle) is the source of this 1099-nucleotide long non-coding RNA. RefSeq lists it as uncharacterized. The record is from RefSeq and is a predicted model, not a curated record. Lineage: Eukaryota; Metazoa; Arthropoda; Insecta; Coleoptera; Curculionidae. The transcript has 2 exons.
UCGCUCCGUACAAGUGGAACCGUGAGCCCACUUCAGAGCAGUAUUUGAUUCUGUCAAAGCGCAAUCCGAGUGUGUUUCUGCGUCGUUUCGUGACGUCGCCUUACCAAGGGACAGUUGAAACAGUGGACUUUACCCGGCAAACGUGCUCCGAAGAAGGCGAAAACUACAAUCGGCCGGAAAGGUGAUGGCCACCAUCGUUUGGGACGCACAAGAUUGAUCUACAUCGACUACCUGGAGAAAGGAAAAACUAUCACAGGGCUCAUCCAUACCGAAUUAUUGGACCGAUUCGAGGUCAAAUUGCAGAAAAACCAGUCCCAUUUGGCGUAGAAAAAAAUGCUCUUCCACCAUGACAACUCACCGGAUCACACCAAAAUUUUAAGUCACUCGCCGGGCAGAAAUUUCAGUCGAAUGACCAAGACCUCAAAAAAGGCUUAGUACUUAUCGGACCGCUAUCGGACUAGUGACCAUUCGGUUCCGGUAAGGAGUACCGUAAAAUGGCGCUAAUAGAAGCUGCAGGGCCAAUCGAAACAAAAUGUCAGGUUUUUUUCAAACUUCAUAAUAUCAUAAUGGAUCGCCAUAUUGAGACAAAGUGACAUGAUUUAAUUUUCUCAUUAGUUUAAUCCGAAUCCCGUUUAAAAUAGCAAGUUCGAUUCACUUUUGACUCUAUUUUCGCAAUUUAUUUAGUUGUUCCUUAAAAUUAUCACCUAUUUUGUUAUAAUUUACAGCCAGUUCAAUGUAUUUUUCAGUAUGUUUUUCAGUUUAUUAAAAUUAUCAUUAAUAAUUCGUUUAGAGACUAAUGGUGUUUUGAUGUCAACCUAAACCUAAAAAGUUAUUUCAAAAAUGCAAGUAAUUAAAUAUACAUUUUCCGAUUUAAUAUAUGAGAGUAUAAAAAAUACAAGAUAGUGUUAAAAUAGAUAAUGUGGUAAACGGAUGUAACAUAUUAAUCUAUCCAAGUUUGGAGUAAAUAUUGUUGCGUCCGAAAGAACAAAAAUAAUUGCUGCUAUAAAUAGUACUCUACAUAGUAUUCUACAUUCAUACGUUCGUAUCAUUUUGUCGUUCGAUGCAGACAUAAAGAAAUAUACGAAUAUAUGUAAACAAA